Molecule: ribosomal RNA, 712 nt
Filed under: Onchidium reevesii
Lineage: Eukaryota; Metazoa; Mollusca; Gastropoda; Systellommatophora; Onchidiidae
Description: small subunit ribosomal RNA
Source: RNAcentral
CAGGGACAACUUCCGUUACCCCUACUGUGUUACGACUUAUCUCCUUUUUCAACGAGAGUGACGGGCGAUUUGUGCACCAUAAAAAGUAGAUUCAACCUAUAUUCCGAUAGUAAAAGUUACUUUCAAGUCCAGCUUCAUGAAAUAAUUUAAUUCUCAAUUUGAAUAAAGUUUUUAUUGUAACUCACCUUACGUCUUAACCAUUGGCUGCACCAUGACCUGUCUUUUUGCUUUAAGCUUUUCGGCACCACCCUAAGCGGGACCUGAAAACGGCGGUAUACAAACUAUUAGGUUAAGCAAUAUGUCUUGCGGAUUAUCUAUUAUCUGGUAAGUUCCCCUGAAGUUUUUGAUGGCCGCCAUGCUCUUUAAGUUUUAAUCCAAAGAUUUUAGUGCUUAGAUUGAUUUUUUGUGCUCAUGUAUAGUAGGGUAUCUAAUCCUAGUUUACUGCUAGAGUUUACUUAAAAGUAUUUACCAAAUUCGGGAAUUAUGAAAAUUUAUAUUUCACUAGUAAAUUUUCCAGUGGAUGGUAUUAAAAGAAUCUAUGAUAAUUUACUUUGUGGCCAGGUAUGACCGCGGCUGCUGGCACCUGAGUAAGCCCCACAAAGUCCCUCAACUGAAUUUUCAUUGCUAAAAUUGUUCAAAAUUUCUUGCUGGUCUUUGCAGAGCUGCCAUACCAUAGUAAGGGGAACGUAAAUUUUCCAUUAGAGCAAAAUGA